UACGUAGGGAGCAAGCGUCGUCCGGAUUUACUGGGUGUAAAGGGUGCGUAGGCGGCUUUGCAAGUCAGAAGUGAAAUCCAUGGGCUUAACCCAUGAACUGCUUUUGAAACUGCAGAGCUUGAGUGGAGUAGAGGUAGGCGGAAUUCCCGGUGUAGCGGUGAAAUGCGUAGAGAUCGGGAGGAACACCAGUGGCGAAGGCGGCCUGCUGGGCUCUAACUGACGCUGAGGCACGAAAGCGUGGGUAGCAAACAGG
This 253-nucleotide ribosomal RNA is filed under the name uncultured bacterium. RNAcentral describes it as "partial 16S ribosomal RNA". It matches the Rfam family "Bacterial small subunit ribosomal RNA", at positions 524 to 776 of the family's 1533-position model. The record is from RNAcentral.